UACGUAGGGCGCAAGCGUUGUCCGGAAUCAUUGGGCGUAAAGAGCUCGUAGGUGGUCUGUUACGUCUGCUGUGAAAACCUAGGGCUUAACCCUGGGCCUGCAGUGGAUACGGGCAGACUAGAGGUAGGUAGGGGAGAAUGGAAUUCCCGGUGUAGCGGUGAAAUGCGCAGAUAUCGGGAGGAACACCGGUGGCGAAGGCGGGUCUCUGGGCAGUAACUGACGCUGAGGAGCGAAAGCGUGGGGAGCGAACAGG
This 253-nucleotide ribosomal RNA is filed under the name uncultured bacterium. RNAcentral's name for it is "partial 16S ribosomal RNA". It matches the Rfam family "Bacterial small subunit ribosomal RNA", at positions 524 to 776 of the family's 1533-position model. The record is from RNAcentral.